RNAcentral lists this ribosomal RNA (420 nucleotides) under Triticum aestivum (bread wheat). RNAcentral's name for it is "partial small subunit ribosomal RNA". The record is from RNAcentral. Lineage: Eukaryota; Viridiplantae; Streptophyta; Magnoliopsida; Poales; Poaceae.
AUGGCGCUGGUCGAUUGGAUAGAACUGAGUGAUGAUGCAGAGAUUAUUGAAUUGAGCAGUGGCGAGGAGAAUGUCGAAGAAUAUCAGGAAGCUUCCACACAGAGCAACUCAGCUCAGCACCAAGCUACAUUGCAUGAUGAUCAGACCGUGUUUGUCGCAGAUGGUGAAGGAAGGGAAGAGGCUACCGAAUCUGGAAAUGCAGAGGAAGCUACCGCAUCCUCCUCCGUUACUGAAAAGGAGUCUGGCAAUCCAGAGGAAGCUGCUGUAUCACAGACUUGUCCUCACACUCCAACAGCCGUUGUUACUGAAAAGGAGUCUGGUAAUCCACAGGAAGCUACUGUAUCACAAACUUGUCCUCACACUGCAACAGCUGUGACAUUCCCCGGUAUAUUCUUCUUCAUUCCUCUCUCAGUUCAAUAA